GGGCAAUCUUGUCCGGUAGACUAGGCCUCGGACACUCGGCCUUCAGUCUCACCCGGACCUCUUUGUCCAUAGGUUGUCGUAGCCAAAAAUGAAUAAAUUGGGCUAAAUGGUCCGGUAGGCCCCAUUCCAAUGAUCUCGGGUGACGUAUCGCACGUGGAUCAAACAUCGGAGUGCCUUGGGGGUCCAUGAAGGUGCCGUCCUCCAGGUCGUCCGUCUGUGUGUCGGCCUUCCAGUGCCCAUGACGGGUGUCCUGCUCCUCGACCAGCUCCGAACCCGUGUGGCCGCGGGGUAUGUCGAGCCAGUCCUCCUCCUCCGAUGGGGAGUCACCCGCUCUCCACACGUCCAUAACUUCCAG
This 355-nucleotide long non-coding RNA is filed under the name Pelobates cultripes (western spadefoot toad). The record is from RNAcentral. Lineage: Eukaryota; Metazoa; Chordata; Amphibia; Anura; Pelobatidae.